Molecule: ribosomal RNA, 555 nt
Filed under: Triticum aestivum (bread wheat)
Lineage: Eukaryota; Viridiplantae; Streptophyta; Magnoliopsida; Poales; Poaceae
Description: partial small subunit ribosomal RNA
Source: RNAcentral
AUGGAGGAUGAUCGGGUGGAAGGGGAUGAGGAGGAAAAUUGGGAUCAUCAUGGCCCAGAUCCGAAUCUGGAGGAUGCGUUUGAAGGCCUAAACUUACAUGGUGAGGAGGAGGAAGACCUAGAUCUUUCAGGGGAGGUUGAUGAGUUAAUCAGGGAUGUGAGGUGGCUGGCUCUCUUUAGGGUUCAUACCCUACGCCCGUUCAGUUACGCGGCCCUGUUAAACUCCAUGAGGAAUGCUUGGGCGUGUGCUCAAGGUGUGACGUUCAAUAUCAAGGGACCUAAUUUGUUCUUGGCGCAAUGUCAUUGUUUGGGAGACUGGAAGAGGGUUAUGGAAGGAGGACCGUGGCAGUUUAGGAGAGAUCCGGUGGUUUUGGUUGAAUAUGAUGGGUUUACUAAUGUCUCUGAUUACUCGUUGGACAUGUAUCCAAUAUGGGCAAGGAUCAAGGGCCUGCCAGAUGGGCUAACGAGGAAGAAAGAACUGGCCGAGAAGGUUGCAAAGAAGGUAGGGGAGCCUCCGUUUACGGCGAUGGUCAAUGAAGGCAAGAUCAAUCCUUAG